RNAcentral lists this ribosomal RNA (432 nucleotides) under uncultured bacterium. RNAcentral describes it as "partial 16S ribosomal RNA". It matches the Rfam family "Bacterial small subunit ribosomal RNA", at positions 29 to 507 of the family's 1533-position model. The record is from RNAcentral.
AACGAACGCUGGCGGCAUGCCUAACACAUGCAAGUCGAACGAGACCUUCGGGUCUAGUGGCGCACGGGUGCGUAACGCGUGGUAACCUGCCCUUAGGUUCGGAAUAACUCCCCGAAAGGGGUGCUAAUACCGGAUAAUGUCUUCGGACCAACGAUUUAUCGCCUUUGGAUGGGCCCGCGUUGGAGUAGGUAGUGGGUAGGGUAAAAGCCUACCAAGGCGGCGAUCGAUAGCUGGUGGGAGAGGAUGAUCAGCGGCACUGGGACUGAGACACGGCCCAGACGCCUGCGGGAGGCAGCAAGGUGGAAUAAUGGACGCUGGGCGAAUGCCUGAUCCAGCAGUGCCGCGUGAGUGACGAAGGGUUGAGGGUUGUAAAGCUCUUUUACCCGGCAUGUUAAGGAGAGUACUGGAAGAGUAGGCUCGGCUUACCUCGGU